UCGGGUUAGCAAUAAUUCGGCGGUUCUAGUGGCGCACGGGUGAGUAACACGUGGGUAACCUGCCCUAGAGUUCGGGAUACCCCCUCGAAAGGGGGGCUAAUACCGGAUACGGUCCUCGGGUCGAAAGAUCUGGGGAAGAAAGGUGGCGCAAGCUGCCGCUCUUGGAGGGGCUCGCGGCCUAUCAGCUAGUUGGCGGGGUAACGGCCCACCAAGGCUAUGACGGGUAGCUGGUCUGAGAGGACGACCAGCCACACGGGGACUGAGACACGGCCCCGACUCCUACGGGAGGCAGCAGUGGGGAAUUUUCCGCAAUGGGCGAAAGCCUGACGGAGUGACGCCGCGUGUGGGACGAAGGCCUUCGGGUCGUAAACCACUGUCAGUGGGAAAGAUGGGUGCCGGCGCGAUAACCGCCGGUAUCUGACGGUACCUGCAGAGGAAGCCCCGGCCAACUCUGUGCCAGCAGCCGCGGUAAGACAGAGGGGGCAAGCGUUGCUCGGAAUUACUGGGCGUAAAGGGCGCGUAGGCGGAAUGGCAAGUCGGUCGUGAAAUCCUUCGGCUCAACCGAAGAACGUCGAUCGAAACUGCCGUUCUUGAGGAUUGCAGAGGAGACUGGAAUUCCCGGUGUAGCGGUGAAAUGUGUAGAGAUCGGGAGGAACACCGGUGGCGAAGGCGGGUCUCUGGGCAAUUCCUGACGCUGAGGCGCGAAAGCGUGGGGAGCAAACGGGAUUAGAUACCCCGGUAGUCCACGCUGUAAACGAUGACGACUAGGUGU
Molecule: ribosomal RNA, 772 nt
Filed under: uncultured Bacillota bacterium
Lineage: Bacteria; Bacillati; Bacillota
Description: bacterial SSU rRNA
Rfam family: Bacterial small subunit ribosomal RNA
Source: RNAcentral